ACUAAGGAGAAACUUUAAAAAGCUGUUUGUGGUGAAACAUUUGAACCUAAACUGAAAACAAAUAAUUUCUAACUCAUAAAAGGUCCAUUUUGACCAAAAGGAACUAAAAGUGCUCAACCUUUAUCACAGCACGUCUCAUUCUGUGUAGAACUGUUGAUUUUCUGUCCAGAAGAUUCCUGUUGGCAGCAGGCGGCCUGUCUUUGGAAGACAACAAGGAUCAUCGACCUGAAGAACCGAAUGAAGCGUCUGAAAGUGUAGCAGCAAACGCCACGCUAGCAAGAUCAACAACACGACUGUUUCCUGUUGAUUAUAGAUCAGAUGUACUUCGUUACAAAUGUUUACCUCUAGUUUGGUUUAUAGAAAAUAUAAACUACUGACAGAGUAAAGCAGCUGUAAUUGGAAUUCACCUCAAUAUCUGCUUUAAAAAUCCCUCCCACUUCUCA
Long non-coding RNA from Oryzias melastigma (Indian medaka), 443 nucleotides. RefSeq lists it as uncharacterized. The transcript has 2 exons. The record is from RefSeq and is a predicted model, not a curated record. NCBI's taxonomy places the organism in Eukaryota, Metazoa, Chordata, Actinopteri, Beloniformes, Adrianichthyidae.